GAUGAACGCUAGCUACAGGCUUAACACAUGCAAGUCGAGGGGAAACGAUAGAGAAAGCUUGCUUUUUCUAGGCGUCGACCGGCGCACGGGUGAGUAACGCGUAUCCAACCUGCCCAUCACUUGGGGAUAACCUUGCGAAAGUAAGACUAAUACCCAAUGACGUCUCUAGAAGACAACUGAAAGGGAUUAAAGAUUUAUCGGCGAUGGAUGGGGAUGCGUCUGAUUAGCUUGUUGGCGGGGUAACGGCCCACCAAGGCGACGAUCAGUAGGGGUUCUGAGCGGACGGUCCCCCACAUUGGAACUGAGACACGGUCCAAACUCCUACGGGAGGCAGCAGUGAGGAAUAUUGGUCGAUGGACGUGAGUCUGAACCAGCCAAGUAGCGUGCAGGAUGACGGCCCUAUGGGUUGUAAACUGCUUUUAUAAGGGAAUAAAGUGAGAGUCGUGACUCUUUUUGCAUGUACCUUAUGAAUAAGGACCGGCUAAUUCCGUGCCAGCCGCCGCCGUAA
RNAcentral lists this ribosomal RNA (508 nucleotides) under uncultured bacterium. RNAcentral describes it as "partial 16S ribosomal RNA". It matches the Rfam family "Bacterial small subunit ribosomal RNA", at positions 28 to 523 of the family's 1533-position model. The record is from RNAcentral.